RNAcentral lists this ribosomal RNA (1247 nucleotides) under Salmonella enterica subsp. enterica serovar Choleraesuis. RNAcentral describes it as "partial 23S ribosomal RNA". It matches the Rfam family "Bacterial large subunit ribosomal RNA", at positions 161 to 1444 of the family's 2925-position model. Lineage: Bacteria; Pseudomonadati; Pseudomonadota; Gammaproteobacteria; Enterobacterales; Enterobacteriaceae. The record is from RNAcentral.
AAUCCAUAGGUUAAUGAGGCGAACCGGGGGAACUGAAACAUCUAAGUACCCCGAGGAAAAGAAAUCAACCGAGAUUCCCCCAGUAGCGGCGAGCGAACGGGGAGGAGCCCAGAGCCUGAAUCAGCAUGUGUGUUAGUGGAAGCGUCUGGAAAGGCGCGCGAUACAGGGUGACAGCCCCGUACACAAAAGCGCAUGUGCUGUGAGCUCGAUGAGUAGGGCGGGACACGUGGUAUCCUGUCUGAAUAUGGGGGGACCAUCCUCCAAGGCUAAAUACUCCUGACUGACCGAUAGUGAACCAGUACCGUGAGGGAAAGGCGAAAAGAACCCCGGCGAGGGGAGUGAAAAAGAACCUGAAACCGUGUACGUACAAGCAGUGGGAGCACAGGUUUACCUGUGUGACUGCGUACCUUUUGUAUAAUGGGUCAGCGACUUAUAUUCUGUAGCAAGGUUAACCGUAUAGGGGAGCCGUAGGGAAACCGAGUCUUAACCGGGCGUUAAGUUGCAGGGUAUAGACCCGAAACCCGGUGAUCUAGCCAUGGGCAGGUUGAAGGUUGGGUAACACUAACUGGAGGACCGAACCGACUAAUGUUGAAAAAUUAGCGGAUGACCUGUGGCUGGGGGUGAAAGGCCAAUCAAACCGGGAGAUAGCUGGUUCUCCCCGAAAGCUAUUUAGGUAGCGCCUCGUGAAUUCAUCUCCGGGGGUAGAGCACUGUUUCGGCUAGGGGGCCAUCCCGGCUUACCAACCCGAUGCAAACUGCGAAUACCGGAGAAUGUUAUCACGGGAGACACACGGCGGGUGCUAACGUCCGUCGUGAAGAGGGAAACAACCCAGACCGCCAGCUAAGGUCCCAAAGUCAUGGUUAAGUGGGAAACGAUGUGGGAAGGCCCAGACAGCCAGGAUGUUGGCUUAGAAGCAGCCAUCAUUUAAAGAAAGCGUAAUAGCUCACUGGUCGAGUCGGCCUGCGCGGAAGAUGUAACGGGGCUAAACCAUGCACCGAAGCUGCGGCAGCGACGCUGAUGCGUUGUUGGGUAGGGGAGCGUUCUGUAAGCCUGUGAAGGUGGCCUGUGAGGGUUGCUGGAGGUAUCAGAAGUGCGAAUGCUGACAUAAGUAACGAUAAAGCGGGUGAAAAGCCCGCUCGCCGGAAGACCAAGGGUUCCUGUCCAACGUUAAUCGGGGCAGGGUGAGUCGACCCCUAAGGCGAGGCCGAAAGGCGUAGUCGAUGGGAAACGGGUUAAUAUUCCCGUAC